CUUAUUUGACUCAACACGGGGAAGCUUACCAGGGCAAGACAUGGCUAGGAACGACAGCUUAAGAGCGCUUUCGUGAUUCCAUGAGUGGUGGUGCAUGGUCCGUUGCAUGUUCGUGGAGCGAUUUGUCUGGUUAAUUCCGUUAACGAACGAGACUUUGGCCCUCAAAAUAGAGACACACACUUUGCUGCUGGGUGUCCUCUUCUUGAGGGGACUGAUCGUGGUAAGCGAUAGGAAGUGCAAAGCCAUAACAGGUCUGUGAUGCCCUUAGAUGUUCUGGGCUGCACGCGUGCUACAAUGGCAGAGACAGCAAGUUGGUGCACCGAGAGGUGCGUCAAAGCGUGAAUCUCUGCCGUGCUUGGGAUAGGCCAUUGGAAUUUGGCCUUGAACGAGGAAUUUUUAGUAAGUGCACUUCAUCACAGUGCGCUGGCUACGUCCCUUGUUUUUGUACACACCGCCCGUCGCUAUUUCCGAUUGGAUGGCUUAGUGAGGUGCUUGGAUGGCCUCUCUUGGGAGGACAGAAAAGCAACAAACUUGGUCAUCUAGAGGAAAUAAAAGUCGUAACAAGGUACUUGUAUGUGAACCUGCAUGUGGAUCAUUAAUGGUGUUCUGGUGGUGCGGCAGUCGUGAGACGCAGCCCGCUGGGGUAUUUUGUGAAUCUUCUGUGCGAUGGCAUCUGUGCAGAGUUGUGUUGUGUUACUGAUGGGGGUGUUGUKUUGUGUUGUGUUGUGUUGUGUUGUGUUGUCUCUGGCUCAUUAGACUGGACUGGGGCUGGGCUUUUCAAUUGCAGCCCACUUUGGUUGAUYUGAGGCAAUUACAUUUGGCUUGGCAUAGCACAUCAUAUGUAUAUGUAUAUGUAUAUGUAUAUGUAUAUAUCACCAAUGACUUGGCUCUACACAGGUGCCAUGGCCAGAACAAUAGAUGCUUUAAAUAACUACAAAUUGUACACAACUGGCGGCAAGGGAUCAUUUGGUUCUCGUAACGAUGAAGAACGCAGCGAGAUGCGAAACGUGGCGCGAUACGCAAAACCUGCGAGACGUCGAGUUUUUGAACGCAGCAUGCGCCCGCAGAGCAAUCUGCAGGCAUGUCUGUCUGGGUGUUUUGAUCACUCUUCUGGGCAAUUGGUGUGCUUUGCUUUGGGCUCUUGUGCAAGCAAUGGCCACAGAGCGCACUGUGCUUGGAUGUGUCUUGCCUGCUUGCAGGUGUGUGUGUGCUGCCUCACCGCAGUGUCAAUCUCUGAGUGUCUGAUGUGAAUAUGUGGCCAAGUGGUGUGGUGUGGUGAUGGGAUGGGAUGUUUGUUCGUUCGUUCUAUUGCCACGCCCUUACCUUACCAACUACAUGCAGGCCACUUUGCAGGCAUCCAUGCAUAUCAAUGGAUGGAUGCAAGCACCAUUGCAGACAAAGGGACAUCGGGCUUGUGGUUGUGGUUGCUGUCUGGUCAUGCUUGCAUGGCUGUGCACAAGCACAAUCGGGCCAGACAACCUUGGUCUGCAGUCAAAUGACAAACCUCAGAUCAGAUAAGACUACCCGCUGAACUUAAA
RNAcentral lists this ribosomal RNA (1538 nucleotides) under uncultured fungus. RNAcentral describes it as "bacterial SSU rRNA". Lineage: Eukaryota; Fungi. The record is from RNAcentral.